GAUGAACGCUGGCGGCGUGCCUAAUACAUGCAAGUCGAGCGAAUGGAUUAAGAGCUUGCUCUUAUGAAGUUAGCGGUGGACGGGUGAGUAACACGUGGGUAACCUGCCCAUAAGACUGGGAUAACUCCGGGAAACCGGGGCUAAUACCGGAUAACAUUUUGAACCGCAUGGUUCGAAAUUGAAAGGCGGCUUCGGCUGUCACUUAUGGAUGGACCCGCGUCGCAUUAGCUAGUUGGUGAGGUAACGGCUCACCAAGGCAACGAUGCGUAGCCGACAUGAGAGGGUGAUCGGCCACACUGGGACUGAGAUACGGCCCAGACUCCUACGGGAGGCAGCAGUAGGGAAUCUUCCGCAAUGGACGAAAGUCUGACGGAGCAACGCCGCGUGAGUGAUGAAGGCUUUCGGGUCGUAAAACUCUGUUGUUAGGGAAGAACAAGUGCUAGUUGAAUAAGCUGGCACCUUGACGGUACCUAACCAGAAAGCCACGGCUAACUACGUGCCAGCCGCCGCAGUAA
This 515-nucleotide ribosomal RNA is filed under the name uncultured bacterium. RNAcentral describes it as "partial 16S ribosomal RNA". It matches the Rfam family "Bacterial small subunit ribosomal RNA", at positions 28 to 523 of the family's 1533-position model. The record is from RNAcentral.